GUUAAGCGACUAAGCGUACACGGUGGAUGCCCUGGCAGUCAGAGGCGAUGAAGGACGUGCUAAUCUGCGAUAAGCGUCGGUAAGGUGAUAUGAACCGUUAUAACCGGCGAUUUCCGAAUGGGGAAACCCAGUGUGUUUCGACACACUAUCAUUAACUGAAUCCAUAGGUUAAUGAGGCGAACCGGGGGAACUGAAACAUCUAAGUACCCCGAGGAAAAGAAAUCAACCGAGAUUCCCCCAGUAGCGGCGAGCGAACGGGGAGGAGCCCAGAGCCUGAAUCAGUGUGUGUGUUAGUGGAAGCGUCUGGAAAGGCGCGCGAUACAGGGUGACAGCCCCGUACACAAAAAUGCACAUGCUGUGAGCUCGAUGAGUAGGGCGGGACACGUGGUAUCCUGUCUGAAUAUGGGGGGACCAUCCUCCAAGGCUAAAUACUCCUGACUGACCGAUAGUGAACCAGUACCGUGAGGGAAAGGCGAAAAGAACCCCGGCGAGGGGAGUGAAAAAGAACCUGAAACCGUGUACGUACAAGCAGUGGGAGCAUGCUUAGGCGUGUGACUGCGUACCUUUUGUAUAAUGGGUCAGCGACUUAUAUUCUGUAGCAAGGUUAACCGAAUAGGGGAGCCGAAGGGAAACCGAGUCUUAACUGGGCGUUAAGUUGCAGGGUAUAGACCCGAAACCCGGUGAUCUAGCCAUGGGCAGGUUGAAGGUUGGGUAACACUAACUGGAGGACCGAACCGACUAAUGUUGAAAAAUUAGCGGAUGACUUGUGGCUGGGGGUGAAAGGCCAAUCAAACCGGGAGAUAGCUGGUUCUCCCCGAAAGCU
Molecule: ribosomal RNA, 823 nt
Filed under: Escherichia coli
Lineage: Bacteria; Pseudomonadati; Pseudomonadota; Gammaproteobacteria; Enterobacterales; Enterobacteriaceae
Description: partial 23S ribosomal RNA
Rfam family: Bacterial large subunit ribosomal RNA
Source: RNAcentral